UACCCAGAAGUAGCACAGUGUUGGAA
This 26-nucleotide non-coding RNA is filed under the name Mus musculus (house mouse). The record is from RNAcentral. Lineage: Eukaryota; Metazoa; Chordata; Mammalia; Rodentia; Muridae.